Long non-coding RNA from Pogoniulus pusillus (Red-fronted tinkerbird), 581 nucleotides. RefSeq lists it as uncharacterized. The transcript is spliced from 3 exons. NCBI's taxonomy places the organism in Eukaryota, Metazoa, Chordata, Aves, Piciformes, Lybiidae. The record is from RefSeq and is a predicted model, not a curated record.
ACAGCUCUGCAGAAGGUGAAAGGAACCUCCGCAGAGCAUCUGGGCAAGCCAUCCUGCUAAAGCAGGAAGGUCUCGGUGCACAGCAUCGCAAUGCCCAGGCAGGUUUGGUGUGUCUCCAGAGAAGAAGACUCCACGGCCUCUCUGGGCAGCUCCGGGCCUCCGGCACCCUCCCUGAACUGCCUUGCCACAAAGCAGUAAAGAAGCAGAUUCCUAAACAUUUGGUAGGACAGAAUCUGACAAGCAUAACAUAGAGAUACCUCCAGAGGCAGUGAUCUCCCUUCCCUUUAAGACACAGACUCACCUCUGGACAGCACUGCUUGGAUGAGAGAAGAGGUCACCUGCCAUGGCCUGUGUGGUCUCUGACUGCUCUGCUGACACCGGAUGUGGAGAUAGGAUCCAGAAGACCAAGUUAUGUCCACAGGCAAGUGAAAUGAGAGCAAUUAGUGUGAGCAGACAGACAGGGGGUGGAGAUCGUUUCAACUUUGAAUUGCUCCUGGCCAAGCUGGAGUUAGAUUGACAUCUACAACUGAAAGGCUCCUUAUCUUGUGGUCCCUUCUUUGAGUUUUACAAACAGUUCUGUG